GAAAGGGAUUUAAGCAGCAGCGUGUCUUCAGCCCCAAGUUUCCAGGUGAUGCUGAUGCCGAUGUUGCUGGCCAGAGGACUAAAUGUUGAGAACCGUUGGAUUUGAUAAUCUCCUCUACAGUUGUAUAAUUCUAUGCCUCUUUUCCCAACUCCUUUUCAAGUUGUAGCACCUCUCCUUUGACUUCUGCAACAUUAUUUCAUUUAAAAAUUGCUAUAUGGCGAACUGAGGUUUAAAAUUUUUAAAUGGAUUAAUUUUAUCUGAGUUUUUCUUCAGAAUUCCAUAUAUUUUGUGAAGGCGUUGUUCAAACUCAGCACCACCAAGCUGCCCUGGAAUGGAACUUCUGCUCAGUUCUUGGAUUGAGGGAUGGAGGAGGAGUUUACUUCAUUCAUUCUCAGGGACUCUUAACUGGUGAGAAGAAUUUAGGAUAUUUUACCAUCUGGAGUUUCUCUGCCUCACUGGUUGCAAAAAUAUCUGCCUCUGAGAGCUCAGGAGGAUCUGCUUUGUGGGAGCAAAGGUAGUGAGUCAUACCUGGAAGCUUGCGCCUCUUCAUCCAGUCAAGUCUCCUAGGCAACAGUUUAUGCAGCACUUAAAAGAUGAGGAGUUAAGAGGAGAAAAUGGAAAAAAAAAAACAACAGAAGUACUUUUAAUGGAACAGAAUAAACCACUGAACAGCAAUUUCCUGGCCAGAGCAGGAACUAGAGCAGAGUCUGGGAGAAGUGACCAUGCCAGGACGGUUUUCCCACCUGUGCUUCCCUGCACGACUGAAAGGAGGGGUGUGUCCGACCCUCGCUGCAGUCCGUGUGCCGCAAAGCAGAAUCCAGCUCCGACCCACCACGAAGGUUGUUAAUGCGCUAUUAAUGGUGUUGAAAUAUGAUGUUUUGGUUACAUGUACAAGCUGAGUUUGAAUAUGGAUGAAGUGUGAGCUUUCCACACGUGGUCACAGAGCAGCCAUCAUCCUCCGUGGGCAGCACCUGUCUUUGCUGUCCUGUGUGUGGUUAAGGCCCAAGGAAGAGUGGUGUGAUUGCAGCUGACUUACUUGAUCUUACUCUGUUGAGGACGGACUUCUCGUGAGGUCGGCUCAUGUAGUCGCUCCUGUAAUCGGCUUUUUGUUUAUGUUCUCAGUGCUGUUCGGCAAAUGCUGCAGGGACAUAGAGCACUGGCACGUAGCUGUCAGGAUUUGCCAUCUGGGAGGUGAUGUCCCGCCGAGCGCCCUGCUCCCUCCUGUCCCAGGCCUCUGUCACCUCCCAGAAGCUCCACACCCGCCCCUCGGUUUUCACUUCUCAGUCUCUGUAGCUGCCACCCCGCCUGUGCACAGAGCAGACAGACCCCCAGAAGUGAGCUCACUCGGGUUCUGGCCCGAGUCAACACUUACCUGCACCUGCCUUGUUUUCCUGGCCUCCUGUUCCAGUGGGAAGGAUCCUUUCCCCCAUCUGAGACCCUGGACCCCAUCCCCUCUCACCUCCUCAGAGACUUUCUUUCUCUGCCCAUUACCUGCCAUUCGCCAUUGACUCUCUCUUGCGAGCAUGUAAACCUACUCAAGUCUUACAAGUUAAAAACAAAACCGGGAGUUCCUGUUGUAGCUCAGUGGUAACAAAUGCAACUAGUAUCCAUGAGGACACGUGUUCGAUCUCUGGCCUCACGCAGUGGGUUAAGGAUCUGGCGUUGCCAUGAGCUAUAGUGUAGCACAGAUGUGGCUCAGAUCUGGCCUUGCUGCAGCUGUGGUGUAGGCCGGCAGCUGCAGCUCUGAUUCAGCCCCUCGCCUGGGAACUUCCAU
This 1774-nucleotide long non-coding RNA is filed under the name Sus scrofa (pig). Its description in RNAcentral is "lncRNA (ENSSSCG00040030038.1)". Lineage: Eukaryota; Metazoa; Chordata; Mammalia; Artiodactyla; Suidae. The record is from RNAcentral.